AGCUUGGCGAUACAGGGUGAUAGCCCCGUAACCGACGCUUCAUCGAGCGUGAAAUCGAGUAGGGCGGGACACGUGAUAUCCUGUCUGAAUAUGGGGGGACCAUCCUCCAAGGCUAAAUACUCCUGACUGACCGAUAGUGAACCAGUACCGUGAGGGAAAGGCGAAAAGAACCCCUGUGAGGGGAGUGAAAUAGAACCUGAAACCGUGUACGUACAAGCAGUAGGAGCACCUUCGUGGUGUGACUGCGUACCUUUUGUAUAAUGGGUCAGCGACUUAUAUUCAGUGGCAAGGUUAACCGUAUAGGGGAGCCGUAGCGAAAGCGAGUCUUAACUGGGCGCUCAGUCUCUGGAUAUAGACCCGAAACCGGGUGAUCUAGCCAUGGGCAGGUUGAAGGUUGAGUAACAUCAACUGGAGGACCGAACCGACUAAUGUUGAAAAAUUAGCGGAUGACUUGUGGCUAGGGG
Molecule: ribosomal RNA, 464 nt
Filed under: Vibrio cholerae
Lineage: Bacteria; Pseudomonadati; Pseudomonadota; Gammaproteobacteria; Vibrionales; Vibrionaceae
Description: partial 23S ribosomal RNA
Rfam family: Bacterial large subunit ribosomal RNA
Source: RNAcentral